Molecule: long non-coding RNA, 232 nt
Organism: Helianthus annuus (common sunflower)
Lineage: Eukaryota; Viridiplantae; Streptophyta; Magnoliopsida; Asterales; Asteraceae
Exons: 2
Source: RefSeq, a predicted model, not a curated record
AGGGAUCAUGUCAAGAUGGAUGGAAGCAUGGAAGGUUAACGGGUCAAAAGGAGGCGAAGAAACGGAUGCGAAUACGAACACUUAAGGUUGUACGAAUCACAGAUUAUCAUCACGAGGAGUAGCGAUUAAAGACCGAGUCACAAGAUAGAUUGUACGGUAAUGCUUGAGUAUGUAAUUUGAUAAACAUAAGUUAUGCUUUUAUUUUAUUAAAUGAGUACGAAGGAUGCAUAUA